GUGGGGAAUCUUGCGCAAUGGGCGAAAGCCUGACGCAGCCAUGCCGCGUGAAUGAUGAAGGUCUUAGGAUUGUAAAAUUCUUUCACCGGGGACGAUAAUGACGGUACCCGGAGAAGAAGCUCCGGCUAACUUCGUGUCAGCAGCCGCGGUAAUACGAAGGGGGCUAGCGUUGCUCGGAAUUACUGGGCGUAAAGGGCGCGUAGGCGGACAGCUUAGUCAGAGGUGAAAGCCCAGGGCUCAACCUUGGAAUUGCCUUUGAUACUGACUGUCUUGAGUUUGGGAAAGAUGAGUGGAACUCCGAGUGUAGAGGUGAAAUUCGUAAAUAUUCGGCGGAACACCAGUGGCGAAGGCGACUCACUGGCCCGAUACUGACGCUGGGGCGCGAAAGCGUGGGGAGCAAACAGGAUUAGAAACCCCUGUAGUCC
Molecule: ribosomal RNA, 425 nt
Filed under: uncultured bacterium
Lineage: Bacteria
Description: partial 16S ribosomal RNA
Rfam family: Bacterial small subunit ribosomal RNA
Source: RNAcentral